Molecule: ribosomal RNA, 492 nt
Filed under: uncultured bacterium
Lineage: Bacteria
Description: partial 16S ribosomal RNA
Rfam family: Bacterial small subunit ribosomal RNA
Source: RNAcentral
AGUGAACGCUGGCGGUAGGCCUAACACAUGCAAGUCGAACGGCAGCACAGUAAGAGCCUGCUCUUACGGGUGGCGAGUGGCGGACGGGUGAGGAAUACAUCGGAAUCUACUUUUUCGUGGGGGAUAACGUAGGGAAACUUACGCUAAUACCGCAUACGACCUACGGGUGAAAGCAGGGGAUCUUCGGACCUUGCGCGAUUGAAUGAGCCGAUGUCGGAUUAGCUAGUUGGCGGGGUAAAGGCCCACCAAGGCGACGAUCCGUAGCUGGUCUGAGAGGAUAAUCAGCCACACUGGAACUGAGACACGGUCCAGACUCCUACGGGAGGCAGCAGUGGGGAAUAUUGGACAAUGGGCGCAAGCCUGAUCCAGCCAUACCGCGUGGGUGAAGAAGGCCUUCGGGUUGUAAAGCCCUUUUGUUGGGAAAGAAAAGCAGCAGGUUAAUACCCCGCUGUUCUGACGGUACCCAAAGAAUAAGCACCGGCUAACUUCGUG